RNAcentral lists this ribosomal RNA (395 nucleotides) under uncultured bacterium. RNAcentral's name for it is "partial 16S ribosomal RNA". It matches the Rfam family "Bacterial small subunit ribosomal RNA", at positions 523 to 918 of the family's 1533-position model. The record is from RNAcentral.
AUACGUAGGGUGCAAGCGUUAAUCGGAAUUACUGGGCGUAAAGCGUGCGCAGGCGGUUUUGUAAGACAGAGGUGAAAUCCCCGGGCUCAACCUGGGAACUGCCUUUGUGACUGCAAGGCUAGAGUACGGCAGAGGGUGAUGGAAUUCCGCGUGUAGCAGUGAAAUGCGUAGAUAUGCGGAGGAACACCGAUGGCGAAGGCAUUCCCCUGGGCCUGUACUGACGCUCAUGCACGAAAGCGUGGGGAGCAAACAGGAUUAGAUACCCUGGUAGACCACGCCCUAAACGAUGUCAACUGGUUGUUGGGUCUUCAUUGACUCAGUAACGAAGCUAACGCGUGAAGUUGACCGCCUGGGAAGUACGGCCGCAAGGUUGAUACUCAAAUGAAUUGACGGGG